UACCCGCAGAAGAAGCACCGGCUAACUCCGUGCCAGCAGCCGCGGUAAUACGGAGGGUGCAAGCGUUAAUCGGAAUUACUGGGCGUAAAGCGCACGCAGGCGGUUUGUUAAGUCAGAUGUGAAAUCCCCGGGCUCAACCUGGGAACUGCAUCUGAUACUGGCAAGCUUGAGUCUCGUAGAGGGGGGUAGAAUUCCAGGUGUAGCGGUGAAAUGCGUAGAGAUCUGGAGGAAUACCGGUGGCGAAGGC
Molecule: ribosomal RNA, 247 nt
Filed under: Escherichia coli
Lineage: Bacteria; Pseudomonadati; Pseudomonadota; Gammaproteobacteria; Enterobacterales; Enterobacteriaceae
Also listed under: 1 other name
Description: partial 16S ribosomal RNA
Rfam family: Bacterial small subunit ribosomal RNA
Source: RNAcentral